GAGUUUGAUCUUGGCUCAGGACGAACGCUGGCGGCGUGCUUAACACAUGCAAGUCGAACGGUAAGGCCCCUUUGGGGUACACGAGUGGCGAACGGGUGAGUAACACGUGAGCAACCUACCCUUGACUCUGGAAUAACAGCUGGAAACAGCUGCCAAUACCGGAUACGACCUCUUGCGGCAUCGCAGGGGGUGAAAGUUCCGGCGGUCGGGGAUGGGCUCGCGGCCUAUCAGCUAGU
RNAcentral lists this ribosomal RNA (236 nucleotides) under uncultured Actinomycetes bacterium. RNAcentral describes it as "uncultured actinobacterium partial 16S ribosomal RNA". It matches the Rfam family "Bacterial small subunit ribosomal RNA", at positions 9 to 249 of the family's 1533-position model. The record is from RNAcentral. Lineage: Bacteria; Bacillati; Actinomycetota; Actinomycetes.